UAGGGAAUCUUCGGCAAUGGGGGGAACCCUGACCGAGCAACGCCGCGUGAGUGAAGAAGGUUUUCGGAUCGUAAAGCUCUGUUGUUAAGGAAGAACGAGUGUGAGAAUGGAAAGUUCAUACUGUGACGGUACUUAACCAGAAAGGGACGGCUAACUACGUGCCAGCAGCCGCGGUAAUACGUAGGUCCCGAGCGUUGUCCGGAUUUAUUGGGCGUAAAGCGAGCGCAGGCGGUUAGAUAAGUCUGAAGUUAAAGGCAGUGGCUCAACCAUUGUAGGCUUCGGAAACUGUUUAACUUGAGUGCAGAAGGGGAGAGUGGAAUUCCAUGUGUAGCGGUGAAAUGCGUAGAUAUAUGGAGGAACACCGGUGGCGAAAGCGGCUCUCUGGUCUGUAACUGACGCUGAGGCUCGAAAGCGUGGGGAGCGAACAGG
Molecule: ribosomal RNA, 429 nt
Filed under: Bacteroidota bacterium
Lineage: Bacteria; Pseudomonadati; Bacteroidota
Description: Bacteroidetes bacterium partial 16S ribosomal RNA
Rfam family: Bacterial small subunit ribosomal RNA
Source: RNAcentral